GUGUCAGCAGCCGCGGUAAUACGUAGGUGGCGAGCGUUGUCCGGAAUUAUUGGGCGUAAAGAGCAUGUAGGCGGCUUAAUAAGUCGAGCGUGAAAAUGCGGGGCUCAACCCCGUAUGGCGCUGGAAACUGUUAGGCUUGAGUGCAGGAGAGGAAAGGGGAAUUCCCAGUGUAGCGGUGAAAUGCGUAGAUAUUGGGAGGAACACCAGUGGCGAAGGCGCCUUUCUGGACUGUGUCUGACGCUGAGAUGCGAAAGCCAGGGUAGCGAACGGGAUUAGAUACCCCGGUAGUCCUGGCCGUAAACGAUGGGUACUAGGUGUAGGAGGUAUCGACCCCUUCUGUGCCGGAGUUAACGCAAUAAGUACCCCGCCUGGGGAGUACGGCCGCAAGGUUGAAACUUAAAUGAAUUGGCGG
Molecule: ribosomal RNA, 412 nt
Filed under: uncultured bacterium
Lineage: Bacteria
Description: bacterial SSU rRNA
Rfam family: Bacterial small subunit ribosomal RNA
Source: RNAcentral